GUGUGAGGGUUAUAAGCAAACCCAUCCUUUACAGCCGAAAUGCGAAUACUCGUCCUCUGGAUUGUUUGGGGAGCCUUUCUGAUAGACCUGGGUCGUGGAGAUUCUGUCACUCAGACGGUGUCCUCAGAAGUGAAGACAGAAGGAGAGGAGGUGACUUUCAUCUGCAGCUAUGAUACGACAGAAAGCGACUACUUUUUACAUUGGUACCGGCAACUGUCGUACUCAAUACCUGAGUUCAUACUGAGCCACUUUUCAGGUGGACGUGAAGAUAAAGCAGAUUUUGCCCAAAGUCGCUUCACUGGCCAUUUCAACAAGGAAAGAAAAUUCACCAGUUUGAACAUCUCAUCGCUGCAGCUGAGCGACUCUGCAGUUUAUUACUGCGCCUUCCGCCGCACAGUGAUGGAAACCAGUUAA
Pristis pectinata (smalltooth sawfish) is the source of this 414-nucleotide non-coding RNA. The record is from the annotation of a RefSeq genome assembly. Lineage: Eukaryota; Metazoa; Chordata; Chondrichthyes; Rhinopristiformes; Pristidae.